This 85-nucleotide transfer RNA is filed under the name Felis catus (domestic cat). It matches the Rfam family "tRNA". Rfam says of the family: Transfer RNA (tRNA) molecules are approximately 80 nucleotides in length. Their secondary structure includes four short double-helical elements and three loops (D, anti-codon, and T loops). The record is from Rfam by way of RNAcentral. Lineage: Eukaryota; Metazoa; Chordata; Mammalia; Carnivora; Felidae.
GCCUGGGUGGCUGAGUCAGUUAAGCGUCCGACUUUGGCUCGGGUCGUGAUCUCGCGGUUCGUGAGUUCGAGCCCCACGUCGGGCU